UUGAACGCUGGCGGCAGGCCUAACACAUGCAAGUCGAGCGGCAGCGGAAAGUAGCUUGCUACUUUGCCGGCGAGCGGCGGACGGGUGAGUAAUGUCUGGGAAACUGCCUGAUGGAGGGGGAUAACUACUGGAAACGGUAGCUAAUACCGCAUAACGUCGCAAGACCAAAGAGGGGGACCUUCGGGCCUGUUGCCAUCAGAUGUGCCCAGAUGGGAUUAGCUAGUAGGUGGGGUAACGGCUCACCUAGGCGACGAUCCCUAGCUGGUCUGAGAGGAUGACCAGCCACACUGGAACUGAGACACGGUCCAGACUCCUACGGGAGGCAGCAGUGGGGAAUAUUGCACAAUGGGCGCAAGCCUGAUGCAGCCAUGCCGCGUGUAUGAAGAAGGCCUUCGGGUUGUAAAGUACUUUCAGCGGGGAGGAAGGUGUUGAGGUUAAUAACCUCAGCAAUUGACGUUACCCGCAGAAGAAGCACCGGCUAACUCCGUG
Molecule: ribosomal RNA, 489 nt
Filed under: uncultured bacterium
Lineage: Bacteria
Description: partial 16S ribosomal RNA
Rfam family: Bacterial small subunit ribosomal RNA
Source: RNAcentral